GACGAACGCUGGCGGCGUGCUUAACACAUGCAAGUCGAGCGGAAAGGCCCUUCGGGGUACUCGAGCGGCGAACGGGUGAGUAACACGUGAGUAACCUGCCCUUGGCUCUGGGAUAAGCCCGGGAAACUGGGUCUAAUACCGGAUAUGACCAUCAGAUGCAUGUCUUGGUGGUGGAAAGAUUUUUCGGCUGGGGAUGGGCUCGCGGUCUAUCAGCUUGUUGGUGGGGUGAUGGCCUACCAAGGCGACGACGGGUAGCCGGCCUGAGAGGGUGACCGGCCACACUGGGACUGAGACACGGCCCAGACUCCUACGGGAGGCAGCAGUGGGGAAUAUUGCGCAAUGGGCGGAAGCCUGACGCAGCGACGCCGCGUGGGGAUGAAGGCCUGG
This 387-nucleotide ribosomal RNA is filed under the name uncultured bacterium. RNAcentral's name for it is "bacterial SSU rRNA". It matches the Rfam family "Bacterial small subunit ribosomal RNA", at positions 28 to 419 of the family's 1533-position model. The record is from RNAcentral.